UUGCGGCUCAACCGUAAAAUUGCAGUUGAUACUGUAUGUCUUGAGUGUACAAGAGGUGGGCGGAAUUCGUGGUGUAGCGGUGAAAUGCUUAGAUAUCACGAAGAACUCCGAUUGCGAAGGCAGCUCACUAGGGUACAACUGACACUGAGGCUCGAAAGUGUGGGUAUCAAACAGGAUUAGAUACCCUGGUAGUCCACACAGUAAACGAUGAAUACUCGCUGUUUGCGAUAUACAGUAAGCGGCCAAGCGAAAGCAUUAAGUAUUCCACCUGGGGAGUACGCCGGCAACGGUGAAACUCAAAGGAAUUGACGGGGGCCCGCACAAGCGGAGGAGCAUGUGGUUUAAUUCGAUGAUACGCGAGGAACCUUACCAGGGCUUAAAUGUAGUCUGACAGAUUUGGAAACAGAUUUUUCUUCGGACAGAUUACAAGGUGCUGCAUGGUUGUCGUCAGCUCGUGCCGUGAGGUGUCAGGUUAAGUCCUAUAACGAGCGCAACCCCUAUUGUUAGUUGCCAGCGAGUAAUGUCGGGAACUCUAGCAAGACUGCCGGUGCAAACCGAGAGGAAGGUGGGGAUGACGUCAAAUCAUCACGGCCCUUACGUCCUGGGCCACACACGUGCUACAAUGGCCGGUACAGUGAGCAGCCACUACGCGAGUAGGAGCGAAUCUACAAGGCCGGUCACAGUUCGGAUUGGAGUCUGCAACUCGACUCUAUGAAGCUGGAAUCGCUAGUAAUCGGAUAUCAGCCAUGAUCCGGUGAAUACGUUCCCGGGCCUUGUACACACCGCCCGU
RNAcentral lists this ribosomal RNA (790 nucleotides) under uncultured bacterium. RNAcentral's name for it is "bacterial SSU rRNA". It matches the Rfam family "Bacterial small subunit ribosomal RNA", at positions 602 to 1397 of the family's 1533-position model. The record is from RNAcentral.